RNAcentral lists this ribosomal RNA (792 nucleotides) under uncultured bacterium. RNAcentral's name for it is "bacterial SSU rRNA". It matches the Rfam family "Bacterial small subunit ribosomal RNA", at positions 97 to 916 of the family's 1533-position model. The record is from RNAcentral.
GGCAAACGAGUGAGUAACACGUAGGAAUCUCCUUUAAGUGAGGCAUAGCCAGUCGAAAGAUUGGGUAAUUCCCCAUGUGGUCGCAAGACUAAAGCCGUAAGGCGCUUAAAGCGGAGCCUGCGUCCCAUCAGGUAGUUGGUAGGGUAAUGGCCUACCAAGCCAUAGACGGGUAGCUGGUCUGAGAGGACGAUCAGCCACGCUGGGACUGAGACACGGCCCAGACACCUACGGGUGGCAGCAGUCAGGAAUUUUCGGCAAUGGGCGCAAGCCUGACCGAGCGAUGCCGCGUGCAGGAUGACGGCCUUAGGGUUGUAAACUGCUUUUGUUGUCUACUAAGAACUGAAGAGACUUCGAAUAAGAGGUUGCUAACUCCGUGCCAGCAGCAGCGGUAAUACGGAGACCUCAAGCGUUAUCCGGAAUCAUUGGGCGUAAAGCGUUCCGAUCGGUGGUUUGGUAAGUCUAUUGUGAAAGACCGGAGCUCAACUCCGUGUUAGCAAUAGAUACUAUCAAACUUGAAGAGUAAAGAGGUGGCUGGAACUCUGCAAGUAGCGGUGAAAUGCGUUGAUAUGCAGGGGAACACCAAAAGCGAAGGCAGGCCACUGGGUACUUCUUGACACUGCUAGGACGAAAGCGUGGGUAGCGAAUGGGAUUAGAUACCCCAGUAGUCCACGCCCUAAACGAUGAGUGCUAGGUUUUGGGAGAAUUCGACCUCUCUCGGAGCCGCAAGCUAACGCCUUAAGCACUCCGCCUGGGGACUACGGCCGCAAGGCUAAAACUCAAAGGAAUUGACGG